Molecule: long non-coding RNA, 417 nt
Filed under: Rattus norvegicus (Norway rat)
Lineage: Eukaryota; Metazoa; Chordata; Mammalia; Rodentia; Muridae
Description: long non-coding RNA NONRATT004692
Source: RNAcentral
CGGCCGCUGUAGUCCUGUCCCAGGCCUGUCCAGCAGCCCUUCCGGCUCCCCGCUGCAUGGGAAGCUGAGUAGCCAAGACUCUUACAAUAACUUUACCAACAACAACCCUGGCAACCCCCGGCUUUCUCCCCUCCCCAGCUUGAUGGUAGUGACACCUCUUGCACAAAUCAAGCAGCCAAUGACAUUGGGGACCAUCACGAAACGAACAGGGUAAGGCCUACAGCUUGAUGCUGUUUCCACAGCCACUGUAAAGGGUGGGAUGGAUGGAAACUGAAUGUGCUUUUUUUCAUUGUGUGUUUUUGAUUAUGUUCUUCAUUUCCAGCCCAUGUGAGACUCAGUGGUAGCCAAGUUAGUUGAGUUCAGAAUGCACACAGACAUGCUCACACACAAGCAUGCUCACACAGAGCUGAGUACACG